Molecule: transfer RNA, 66 nt
Filed under: Megaustenia imperator imperator
Lineage: Eukaryota; Metazoa; Mollusca; Gastropoda; Stylommatophora; Ariophantidae
Description: tRNA-Asn
Source: RNAcentral
CUUAGAAGAGUUUGAUAGAUUAAACGUUUAAUUGUUAAUUAAAAAAUACUUUAUAAGUUUCUAGGA